GUUUAGGACUGAAGAGGGCAUCAUUGCACUGGAGAAGGCAUUCCAUGUGAUGGAGGGCAGGGCUUAGGGAGGAGAGACAAUGAAGGUCUCUGAGUCUUAGCCCUGGGUUUGAUUGGAGGAAAGGGUGCAGAUGACUGGAAGAGGUGCUGCUCUUGGGAAUAGGAAGACCGUCCUAAAGUGGGGUGGACAAAAGGAUGAAGUCUGAGAGCAUGGACUACUCUGCUUUCCCUGGAUCUCAAAUCUCAUUCCUUUCUUCCCCUGAAUCUGAGAUCUCUCUUCCUCCCCUCCCAACCAAGAUCACUCUGCCUUCCCUUCUAUGUCAGAUCUCUUUGCCUUCCCUGGAGCUGAGAUCACUCUGCAUUCCCUGGAGCCAAGAUCUCUCUGCCUUCUGGACUCCAGUUCUCUGCUUGCAGGUCCCAGGCCUCCUGCCUAGGAAGAGAAGAGAAAGACCUUAUCCCACUGGGAUCUUUCAUCCUGUCCACCUCAGUCUGCAGAGCACCAAGUCCUGGUCCAAACAGGGAGCCUGGAGCCAGAGGGAAUGGCCCCUGGGAGCCAUAGACCCCAACCCAAGUGAGUGCAGUCUUGAGUCCAGACUUGACAACCAACAUAACCUAAUGAGGAUUAGAGUUAGGCUUAGAAAGAGAGGAUGGUCUACGAAGUUGGGAAUACCUUACUUAUGGACUAUUUCUUUACAAAAGCAGGCAUGAAAUUGAAUAAGGCAGUAAAAACACUGCCCUGCUUUCUGCUUCUAUGUGGUAAACUGAUUCACUGGCACUCUGGCAUAUGGAGCAUCAACUCCUCCCUCCUCUGUUUGUUUUGAAGUUCUCCCUCCUUAGUAUAGGUCAGGCAAGUUUCCCAGGUCUCCCUGAAUCCUUCCCCUUUACCCUUUUUUUGAGUCCAGUCAGUAAACAUUUCUUACUGUUGUUGGGUUGUUUUUGUAGUUGUGUCUGACUCUUUGAAGCUUCAUGACCCCAUUUGGGUUGUUUUUGCCAGAUAUCCCUGAGCAGUUUGCCAUUUCUUUCUCCAGCUCAUUUUAUAGAGGAGCAAACUGAGGGAAAUAGGGUUAAAUGACUUGCCCAGGGUCAUACAGCUGGGAAAUCUAGCUGCCCCAAAAAGCU
Molecule: long non-coding RNA, 1118 nt
Filed under: Vombatus ursinus (common wombat)
Lineage: Eukaryota; Metazoa; Chordata; Mammalia; Diprotodontia; Vombatidae
Description: lncRNA (ENSVURG00010018139.1)
Source: RNAcentral